GACGAACGCUGGCGGCGUGCUUAACACAUGCAAGUCGAACGGAAAGGCCCUGCUUGCAGGGUACUCGAGUUGCGAACGGGUGAGUAACACGUGGGUGAUCUGCCCUGCACUUCGGGAUAAGCCUGGGAAACUGGGUCUAAUACCGGAUAGGAGCCAUUUUUAGUGGGAUGGUUGGAAAGUUUUUUCGGUGUAGGAUGAGCUGGCAGCCUAUCUGCUUGCUGGUGGGGUAAUGGGCUACCAAGGCGGCGACGGGUAGCCGGGCUGGGGGGGUGGACCGCCACCCUGAGACUGACGUACGGCCCCGACAGCUACGGGUGGCCGAAGUGGGGAAUCUUGACGGAUCGGCGCCAGCCUGAUGCUGAGACGCCGCGUGGCGGAUGACUGCCUUAUGGUUGUAAACUACUUUCGCUAGGGACGAAGCUUUUUGUGACGGUACCUAGAUAAGAAGCCCCGGCUAACUACGUG
Molecule: ribosomal RNA, 465 nt
Filed under: uncultured bacterium
Lineage: Bacteria
Description: partial 16S ribosomal RNA
Rfam family: Bacterial small subunit ribosomal RNA
Source: RNAcentral